RNAcentral lists this long non-coding RNA (1771 nucleotides) under Varroa destructor (honeybee mite). RNAcentral describes it as "uncharacterized LOC111243230, transcript variant X2". The record is from RNAcentral. Lineage: Eukaryota; Metazoa; Arthropoda; Arachnida; Mesostigmata; Varroidae.
GCUCAUUUUCAGGCUGGGUAUCUCAUUCAAAUAUUUGAGAACAAGGCGUGUAAGACAGACACCAUAAAGGCAGGAGCCUUUACCCUCAAGAGCAGUUCGAGCCCAACGGCGUAUCUAGUCGCUUGACACAUCUCUAGGCUUGUGUAUCUUCAUAAUGGUGUUUGUGAACUAUGGAAAAGGAAAAAAAACACGUCCCAUCGAAUGAUAUGUCAAUAGCGGACCUCGUAUUCCCCUGGUUCAUCUGGAUCAUGGGGGAAUGGCGUGAUUUGGCCUUCGAACUACGUGGCAUAAUCUCCUACUGGCAGGAAGGGCUCUUUAUUUACUGUCUGGCCAUCAUUCACGUAGCAACAACAUUCGCCUUACCUGUGCCAGGAUGGCCAAAAGGUUAUCUCGGGCCCGCCGGUUUACAUAAGGGUGGUGCACAUUUUAAGUGCACGGAUGGUGCUGCUGGCUGUAUCGAAGGGCUUAUCCUUGGCACUGCCCAUAUGCAUCGUGUCUACACUUUCGGUUAAUCAAAGCGAAUAUUUGGUAGAAACGUGCAAAGAGAUCUACGGUGGAACCAUGAAGCACGAUCCCGAAGGCAUCUUGGGCUGUUUGACCUCGAUGUUGUUAACAUUCCUGGGACUGCAGGCUGGCAAGAUCUUUCUGACAUAGCGCAACAACCUACACAGGACUAGCCGGUGGGUCAAUUAGGCAAUCGCCUGUGGCUUUGUAGCUGGAGCCUUGUGUGGUUUCAGGAGAGAUCUCUGGUAACGACGGCACAAGUAAUUCAGAUAACUAGUUACUGCAUACUAUUCAUAUCCCGUACUAAAUUCAAUAUACUAUACCCGUAAGCGACUUGAUACUAGAUUAGGUAUCAUGAAAUCUAGCAAGAAGUAGGUUGAUACCUGCUACUAUGUCGGUAUUGCUGCAGAGACAUGGAUGUUGCAUUAAGCUCUUCGUUUUGACGACUGAUUAGUAAACAGAAUUCGGCUGUCUUCCGAAGCUAUUUCGCACCCAAUAGCGAAUUCUUAAUGUCAUUUCGUGUUGAACCAUAAAUUAGAAUCUUAACUGGAAUCCUUCCAUAAGUACGUUUUUAUCAUCAGUAUCACGUUAUGAGCAAGACCACAUGUAUGACGAUGCAUACUGAUAUCAUUGUCUUUGUAUUUGCAAGCUCUCAAGGUUGUUCUAUUAACGACUGCCCAAAAAUAUUAACUCACUUAUUAGUUCUACGAAAAAUAUGACAUCUUUGUUACCUGUAUGUAUACUGGAAAUCAAUUCAUCCGUACAUGAAUUUCUUGAGUGAAAAAUGCUUACGGGCAUUGCAUAUUCCAUACCAUCUUUAUCGGCGCCGUGGCGUCAAUGGUGAAAUUUCAAUCUUUUGCUUCUCAACGGUUUUGUUUCGAAGUCGGGUUUUAUAUGUAUGGUAGUUUUCUUGUUCUUUGCGCGGGUCAAUGUCGUAUAUCCUUUGUGUGGUCAGUUUUACUUCCAUACUUCUAACUGUUAUGCAUGCAGUCAUUGAUUUCAUGAAUCUGUGGUCGUGCAUCUAUCUCGGUGGGUGAUACUCAAGUACGGACUAAGUAUAAAACAUGUUUCUAUUACAAAGGCUAUAGAUGAUUCAUAAUAAAAAAAACUCUACCUGAAUACAUAUUUUAAGCUAAGCUAUUUUUGAAUGAGUAUUUAAAAAAUAACGAUGUACGCUCUUCUUCAAAGCAACCGACAUUCGACAGUCAACUUACAGCUCAUACAGAAAGCAAUGUAGCUCGUUUAAAUAAAAAUAUGGAGAUGUUAA